Molecule: ribosomal RNA, 660 nt
Filed under: uncultured bacterium
Lineage: Bacteria
Description: bacterial SSU rRNA
Rfam family: Bacterial small subunit ribosomal RNA
Source: RNAcentral
AACACAUGCAAGUCGAGGGGAAACGAUAUCGGAAGCUUGCUUCCGAUAGGCGUCGACCGGCGCACGGGUGAGUAACGCGUAUCCAACCUGCCCACCACUUGGGGAUAACCUUGCGAAAGUAAGACUAAUACCCAAUGAUAUCUCUAGAAGACAUCUGAAAGGGAUUAAAGAUUUAUCGGUGAUGGAUGGGGAUGCGUCUGAUUAGCUUGUUGGCGGGGUAACGGCCCACCAAGGCGACGAUCAGUAGGGGUUCUGAGAGGAAGGUCCCCCACAUUGGAACUGAGACACGGUCCAAACUCCUACGGGAGGCAGCAGUGAGGAAUAUUGGUCAAUGGGCGAGAGCCUGAACCAGCCAAGUAGCGUGCAGGAUGACGGCCCUAUGGGUUGUAAACUGCUUUUAUAAGGGAAUAAAGUGAGUCUCGUGAGACUUUUUGCAUGUACCUUAUGAAUAAGGACCGGCUAAUUCCGUGCCAGCAGCCGCGGUAAUACGGAAGGUCCGGGCGUUAUCCGGAUUUAUUGGGUUUAAAGGGAGCGUAGGCCGGAGAUUAAGCGUGUUGUGAAAUGUAGACGCUCAACGUCUGCACUGCAGCGCGAACUGGUUUCCUUGAGUACGCACAAAGUGGGCGGAAUUCGUGGUGUAGCGGUGAAAUGCUUAGAUAU